Cebus imitator (Panamanian white-faced capuchin) is the source of this 166-nucleotide small nuclear RNA. Its record names the gene U1. It matches the Rfam family "U1 spliceosomal RNA". Rfam says of the family: U1 is a small nuclear RNA (snRNA) component of the spliceosome (involved in pre-mRNA splicing). NCBI's taxonomy places the organism in Eukaryota, Metazoa, Chordata, Mammalia, Primates, Cebidae. The record is from Ensembl.
AUACUUACCUGGCAGGGGAGAUGCUGUGAUCACGAAGGUGGUUUUCCCAGGGUGAGGCUUAUCCAUUUCACUCCGGAUGUGCCAACCUUUGCAGUUUCCCCAAAUGUGGGAAACUUGACUGCAUAAUUUGUGGUAGUGGGGGACUGCAUUUUUUUAAAAACUCUAU